RNAcentral lists this ribosomal RNA (828 nucleotides) under uncultured bacterium. RNAcentral's name for it is "bacterial SSU rRNA". It matches the Rfam family "Bacterial small subunit ribosomal RNA", at positions 8 to 832 of the family's 1533-position model. The record is from RNAcentral.
AGAGUUUGAUCAUGGCUCAGAUUGAACGCUGGCGGCAGGCCUAACACAUGCAAGUCGAGCGGUAACAGGCCCUUCGGGGCGCUGACGAGCGGCGGACGGGUGAGUACUGCAUAGGAAUCUACCCGGUAGUGGGGGAUAACCUGGGGAAACUCAGGCUAAUACCGCAUACGUCCUACGGGAGAAAGCAGGGGCCUUUUGGCCUUGCGCUAUCGGAUGAGCCUAUGCCGGAUUAGCUGGUUGGUGAGGUAAUGGCUCACCAAGGCGACGAUCCGUAGCUGGUCUGAGAGGAUGAUCAGCCACAUCGGGACUGAGACACGGCCCGAACUCCUACGGGAGGCAGCAGUGGGGAAUAUUGGACAAUGGGGGCAACCCUGAUCCAGCCAUGCCGCGUGUGUGAAGAAGGCCUUCGGGUUGUAAAGCACUUUCAGCGAGGAAGAACGCCUGGCGGUUAAUACCCGCCAGGAAAGACAUCACUCGCAGAAGAAGCACCGGCUAACUCCGUGCCAGCAGCCGCGGUAAUACGGAGGGUGCGAGCGUUAAUCGGAAUUACUGGGCGUAAAGCGCGCGUAGGCGGCGUGAUAAGCCGGUUGUGAAAGCCCUGGGCUCAACCUGGGAACUGCAUCCGGAACUGUCAGGCUAGAGUGCAGGAGAGGAANGUAGAAUUCCCGGUGUAGCGGUGAAAUGCGUAGAGAUCGGGAGGAAUACCAGUGGCGAANGCGGCCUUCUGGACUGACACUGACGCUGAGGNGCGAAAGCGUGGGUAGCAAACAGGAUUAGAUACCCUGGUAGUCCNCGCCGUAAACGAUGUCGACCAGCCGUUGGGNGNCU